GAUAGUUUUCGUCUCAGUGAGCUCAGACUGUACCUGAUGGCCUCUGCAGGGAAGAUGUUCAAGGAUGGCUCAGUGAAUGUCAGCCUUAAGCUGAAGACAUGCACCCUUGAUGACCUCAGAUAAGGCAUCGAGAGAGCCACGUCCAGAAUGAUUGACAGAAAGAAUGACCAAGAUAGCAGCAGUUCUAUGAUUGAUAUUCAUUACAAACAAGACAAAAACACAAGUCUAAUUGAUGCUGUUCUUGACAAGCUGUAUGUGUGUGCCAGCGUGGAGUUUUUGAUGACUGUGGCAGAUUUCUUCAUCAAAGCUGUGCCUCAGAGCCCAGAAAAUACGGCGAAGGAAAUACAAAUGCCAUCAAGACACAUUACCAUGGGGAAAGUCAAGACAGAAAAAGAUGAUUCUGCAAGACGAAACAUGACCUUGAAGGCCAAGAUCACAGACCCGGAAGUGGUGUUUGUGGCCAGCCUGAGCAGGGCGGACGCUCCUGCGCUGUCGGCCUCCUUCCAGUGUAAGCUCUGUGUGUCCGCAUCUGGGCUGGAGCAGGUGACGGAGGCAUCCAUCAAAGACCUGAGAGUGCUCGCUUGUCCUUUCCUCAGAGAGAAGAGGGGGCAAACCAUCACCACAGUCUUGCAGCCAUGCUCUUUAUCUAUGGAAAAAUGUACCUGGGCCUCAGGAAAACAGAAUAUCAAUAUUAUGGUUAAAGAAUUUAUAAUUAAGAUUUCACCCAUCAUUCUGAAUACUGUGAUGACAAUAAUGGCUGCCAUGUCUCCAAAGACGAAAGAGGAUGAAUCGAGAGACACAUCUAAGGAAAUGGAAAGUCUCUGGGAUAUCAAGUCUAUUGAUGAUUAUGAUUCUUGGUUUCUUGGUGUUGACAUGGCAACCGAAGCAACAGAAAGUUUCAGAGCGAUGGAUCAUCCACUGAUAGAGGAAAACUGUGCUGUUGCUGUGGAAUCGGUCCAAGUCACUCUAGAAUGUGGCCUUGGGCACCGAACUGUGCCUUUACUAUUGGCAGAGUCCAAGUUUUCAGGAAAUAUUAAGAAUUGGACUUCCCUGUUGGCUGCUACUGCUGAUGUGACACUGCAGGUUCACUAUUACAAUGAGAUUCAUGCUGUGUGGGAGCCAUUGAUCGAGCGAAUAGAGGGGAAGAAACAAUGGAACUUAAAGCUUGAUGUAAAGAAGAACCCGAUCCAGGAUAAAAGUUUGAUACCAGGAGAUGAUUUUAUUCCUGAGCCCAAAAUGGCAAUUUAUAUUUCUUCAGCAGACACAAUGAAUAUAACAAUAUCCAAAACGUGUCUCAAUGUUUUCAGCAAUUUAGCAAAAGGUUUUUCGGAGGGCACUGCUUCUACUUUCGAUUACUCUUUAAAAGACAGAGCUCCGUUUACGGUCAGAAAUGCUGUAGGUGUUCCCAUGAAGGUGCAGCUCAGUCGUAACCUGAGAGUGAUGGGCUCCCCAGGGAAGAGCAAUGUCUAUGGUGUGGAUGCCGGUCAGCAUCUGGAACUGGAGUAUGCCAGCACGGAACCUUCCUCUCAAGGGAAGCUGUCUGUGCUGAGCCGUCAGGAGAGUUCCUUCUUCACGCUGACUUUCGUACCACAUGGAUACACAGAGGUUGCCAAUGUCCCUGUUGCCCGACCUGGACGGCGGUUGUACAAUGUGUGGAAUCCCCAUGCCAAUUACUCGGACUCUGUCUUGGUACAGAUUGAUGCCACCGAAGGGAAUAAAGUCAUCACCCUCCGCUCUGCGCUGCAGAUUAAAAACCACUUCUCUGUUCCAUUUAUUAUCUAUAAACUGGUUAAGAAUGUUAAACUUCUGGAGCACAUUGGAACAGUCAGCCCCGAAGAGGAGUUCCAUGUCCCUUUAGAUUCGUAUAGAUCUCAGUUGUUUAUCCAGCCGGCUGGGGACUUAGAGCAUCAGUACAAGGAGUCGACCACCUACAUCCCCUGA
This is a long non-coding RNA of Cavia porcellus (domestic guinea pig), 1941 nucleotides long. NCBI's taxonomy places the organism in Eukaryota, Metazoa, Chordata, Mammalia, Rodentia, Caviidae. The record is from Ensembl.